GAUGAACGCUGGCGGCGUGCCUAAUACAUGCAAGUCGAGCGAACAGACGAGGAGCUUGCUCCUCUGACGUUAGCGGCGGACGGGUGAGUAACACGUGGAUAACCUACCUAUAAGACUGGGAUAACUUCGGGAAACCGGAGCUAAUACCGGAUAAUAUAUUGAACCGCAUGGUUCAAUAGUGAAAGACGGUUUUGCUGUCACUUAUAGAUGGAUCCGCGCCGCAUUAGCUAGUUGGUAAGGUAACGGCUUACCAAGGUAACGAUGCGUAGCCGACCUGAGAGGGUGAUCGGCCACACUGGAACUGAGACACGGUCCAGACUCCUACGGGAGGCAGCAGUAGGGAAUCUUCCGCAAAGGGCGAAAGCUUGACGGAGCAACGCCGCGUGAGUGAUGAAGGUCUUCGGAUCGUAAAACUCUGUUAUUAGGGAAGAACAAAUGUGUAAGUAACUAUGCACGUCUUGACGGUACCUAAUCAGAAAGCCACGGCUAACUACGUG
RNAcentral lists this ribosomal RNA (497 nucleotides) under uncultured bacterium. RNAcentral describes it as "partial 16S ribosomal RNA". It matches the Rfam family "Bacterial small subunit ribosomal RNA", at positions 28 to 507 of the family's 1533-position model. The record is from RNAcentral.